Molecule: ribosomal RNA, 498 nt
Filed under: Anguilla celebesensis (Celebes longfin eel)
Lineage: Eukaryota; Metazoa; Chordata; Actinopteri; Anguilliformes; Anguillidae
Description: partial 16S rRNA
Rfam family: Bacterial large subunit ribosomal RNA
Source: RNAcentral
GAAGGUAGCGUAAUCAUUUGUCUUUUAAAUAGAGACCUGUAUGAAUGGCAUAACGAGGGUUUAACUGUCUCCUUCCCCUAGUCAAUGAAAUUGAUCUGCCCGUGCAGAAGCGGACAUAAACACAUAAGACGAGAAGACCCUAUGGAGCUUUAGACAAAAGAUCAAACAUGUAAAGAAACCAAACCAACCAAAAGGAACACAAAGGCCACAAAACCCGACGUAAACUGAUCCAAAUGUCUUCGGUUGGGGCGACCAUGGGGAAAAGAAAAACCCCCACGAGGAACUAGGGGCAAUCCAUAAACCAAGAGAGACAUCUCUAAGCAACAGAAAAUCUGACCAAAAAUGACCCAGGAUACUAAUCCUGAUCAACGAACCAAGUUACCCUAGGGAUAACAGCGCAAUCCUUUCCCAGAGUCCAUAUCGACGAAAGGGUUUACGACCUCGAUGUUGGAUCAGGACAUCCUAAUGGUGCAGCCGCUAUUAAGGGUUCGUUUGUUC